RNAcentral lists this ribosomal RNA (184 nucleotides) under uncultured bacterium. RNAcentral describes it as "partial 16S ribosomal RNA". It matches the Rfam family "Bacterial small subunit ribosomal RNA", at positions 521 to 703 of the family's 1533-position model. The record is from RNAcentral.
UAAUACGGGGGGAGCAAGCGUUGUUCGGAUUUACUGGGCGUAAAGGGCGCGUAGGCGGUCACGACAAGUCAGUUGUGAAAUCUCUGGGCUUAACUCAGAACGGUCAACUGAUACUGUCGGACUAGAGUGCAGAAGGGGCAACUGGAAUUCUCGGUGUAGCGGUGAAAUGCGUAGAUAUCGAGAG